ACCGAGCUUAGUAACGUGGGCUUGUAACCCAAGUGGGGGUAUUGAGGUGAUGGAACCAAACAAUGGAAAACUAAUUUAAAAAAAAAAAAGUGUACUACAGAAAAAAUCUUUCUCUCA
This 117-nucleotide non-coding RNA is filed under the name Beta vulgaris subsp. vulgaris (sugar beet). Lineage: Eukaryota; Viridiplantae; Streptophyta; Magnoliopsida; Caryophyllales; Amaranthaceae. The record is from RNAcentral.